Molecule: long non-coding RNA, 2484 nt
Organism: Hypomesus transpacificus
Lineage: Eukaryota; Metazoa; Chordata; Actinopteri; Osmeriformes; Osmeridae
Exons: 2
Source: RefSeq, a predicted model, not a curated record
GUAAAAGAGCUCGAAUAUUUUGGAAUUAUCAUCCUACUAGCACUGUACAGCCCUAUACGUUCUGUAAACAAGACUGCCUCAUAUCUGGGUUCAUCUCUUCUAUUCUCAUAACAAAAAAUAACAAUGUGAAACAGCUGUCUCUCCUCAGUUACGAUAAUAUAAUAUCAAGUCGACAUCUUUCACUUUUUGAUUCGAGUGGUUUGUGCACGCGCUCUCACGAGGGGGUGCCUCUCAUGAAAGCCGUGCAUCUGAUCGCACAACACCGGAAAUCAACAGAAGAAAGUCGUGUUGGUUACAGAGUGAUAUUUCUGCAACUUCUGGUGGCACUCAGUCUACAGUCGACAGCCAGAAGGCGUAAAAAUAGGGCUACAUUAAUUAAUGGUUACGUUCAUUUCUUCUUUAGCAAAAAUGGCUGGAAUACUCACUCUGAAAGCGUUCGUUAACGAGCGACUAACCUCUGCAGCUGAAGAGAUAUUUGGAAUGUUUGAGAAAACCAUUAACGAACAUCACGCGGAAGUUUCCCGUUUAAACAAGGAGCUCAAGAUUCAACGCAGACAACUGGAGACCGUUUUACACCCAAACAAACCAUUACACAGAACAGACCCACAGCAGUUCAUUCUCAAUGAUCCUGAACCGGAAGCUUGCCAUGAACAACAACAGCACUGUGACUUGGAUUGGAGGACCAAUGUUAUUCUGGUUAUGGAUGAACCAGCACCCCAACAAAUUAAAGAGGAAGAGGAGGUACAUCGGACCAAUCAGGAAGAAGAGCGUAAUCAAGGGCUGGAAGCUUACUCAAGAGAAUGUAUAUUGACUUUUGAACAUUUGAAGAACAAUCUCGGUUUUCCAACACAUACCUAACCAGAAGUGUAAAGAACAUGACAGAAGAACCUCCUCAUAAACUACCCAAUCAAAGGGGAGGAAAGCAUGCUGUGCAAGAACGGGCAUGUAAGAUGAAUUCCAUUGAGGUGUCAAAUCCAAAAUUGCCUGAUGAAAGUCAGUCUGUGUAUAGUUGUAAGGUGUGUGGAAAUACUUUUCACUAUAAGGGUAACUUGGUGAGGCAUGUAAGAUUGCAUACAAAGGAUGCUGAAUGUCGUUGCGGUGUUUGUGGGGACUCCUACCUGGAGGCCACUGAACUGAAAGUCCACUUAAGAACCCAUAAAUCGUUUCAGUGCACUGUUUGUGGAAAAAUAUUAGUCAAUGGUUCAAGUUUGAAAGUGCACAUGAGGACACACACUGAAGAGAAACCACAUUGUUGUAAAGUUUGUGGCAGAGGAUUUAAACAAAUGGGGCAUUUGAUUGUACAUACAAGGACACACACCAGAGAGAAACCACAUUGUUGUAACAUAUGCAACAGAGGAUUUAAUCAAAUGGUACAUUUGAGUGUGCAUAUGAGAACUCAUACCGGGGAGAAACCUUUUUCUUGUCAUGUCUGUGGUAAAGGAUUUGUCUCUAGAGGAAAUUUAGUUCAACACAUUAGAGUCCAUUCAGGGGAUAAACCAUACAUUUGUAAUGAUUGUGGCAAAACCUUUACCAAGCGUACAAGUCUUAAUUACCACAUGAGGAUACAUAUUGGAGAGAAAGCAUUUUGCUGUCAUAUCUGUGGUCAAGAUGUCUGCACUAGUGAAGACUUGAAAAACCACAUGUAAAUACACAUUAAAGGAAAACCAUAUUCUGACCUGUUAAAGUAUUAAGUGGAGGAAGGACAUCAUUAUUUCUUGUAGAUGUUUUCAAAGUACUUAAGGUAAACAUUUAGAAUGAAUACAUGGAAAUAAUACCAGUACUGAUAAUACUAAUUCCAUGGAACUUGACAUGUUGAUAUACUAACAUAUUACCUUAUAACACUAGACAGAAUAUUGUAAAGUAGACCUAGAAUGGCUACUAUACUAGCCACAAAUACAAGCCACCAAUACUAGGAAUAUUUAACAACAUUUGAUGUACGCAGGAUAGGCAAGUUUUGCUUGAAUUUGAAAGGAUUCAAACCAAAAUAUCCCACCUAUCCCUUCAAAGCCACUCCUCCAAAACACAUGAACAUGCUGCCUUACUAUAGCCGAGAGGUAGGUAGGUAAACAGACAAGUAGCCUGUCCAAUAAUUGCAUUCGGUCCAAAUGCCGUGCAAUCAUAAGUGUUAACUUAAUGAUUGAUCGUUUUUAUUAUAGUCCUGCGAUGCCCACAGAUAUCAGGUUGAUUUAAUUUGACUGUCCAACGUUUAUAUUUAUUGGUUCCUAUCAGGAUGCAGUUUAUUUCAGCAAAUAUGUCAAAAAGAGCUUCUCAACAACAUUACCUACCCUGCCAAGUAAAUGGAACUUGUUUUAAGUUAACACCGCCUUUCUUUUAUUCAUCAGCCCACAUUACAAUUUUCUUCUUUGACAACACUUAUAUUUAAUAUAGUGUUACAUAUGUAAGGUUAGGCCCAAAUGAUUCCAAUGUAGGCUUACCUGUACCGAUAGAAAACGCAAAUAAACUUGUGCAUAUUGCAUUCUUAUA